Long non-coding RNA from Pteropus alecto (black flying fox), 525 nucleotides. RefSeq lists it as uncharacterized. The transcript is spliced from 4 exons. Lineage: Eukaryota; Metazoa; Chordata; Mammalia; Chiroptera; Pteropodidae. The record is from RefSeq and is a predicted model, not a curated record.
CAAUCGAAAGCCUUAAGAAGAAGACUGACCUCCACUUAGAAAGGGAGAAUUCUGCCUUUGAACUCAAGCUGCAGCAUCAACUUUUCUCUGGGUCUUCAUUCUGCCAACCUAGCUUGUAGAUUUUGGACUUGCCAGCCUCCGUAAUCAUAUGCUUCGAUAUGUGUAUUGGUGAUGAAAGAGAGAGCCCAGGCUAGCAGACAUGGAAGAUACCGAAUUAAAAAGGAGACUCAAUUCCUCUGCAUUCUAAGCAAUGAAUGGCAAAAAUGAAUGAGAGUCCCUGUUGUUCCACAUCCUUGCCAGCAUUUGGUUGUAUCAGUGUUUUGGAUUUUAGCCAUUUUAAUAGCGUCUUUCUUGGAGAUGUUAAUAAGUUUAAUGAAGUCCAACUUUUUCUUUCAUGGAUCAUGCUUUUGGUGUCAUAUCUAAAAAGUCAUCAACAAAUGCAAGGACACCUAGAUUUACUACUAAAUGUAUCCUUUUUAUUGUGGUAAAAUAUACAUAACAUAAAAAUUUACCAUUUUAACCAUU